CACUUCUCAAGUUUGGCC
RNAcentral lists this ribosomal RNA (18 nucleotides) under Scolecobasidium musae. RNAcentral's name for it is "Ochroconis musae partial 28S ribosomal RNA". The record is from RNAcentral. Lineage: Eukaryota; Fungi; Ascomycota; Dothideomycetes; Venturiales; Sympoventuriaceae.